UGGGGAAUUUUGGACAAUGGGGGAAACCCUGAUCCAGCCAUCCCGCGUGUGCGAUGAAGGCCUUCGGGUUGUAAAGCACUUUUGGCAGGAAAGAAACGUCGCGGGUUAAUACCCCGCGAAACCGACGGUACCUGCAGAAUAAGCACCGGCUAACUACGUGCCAGCAGCCGCGGUAAUACGUAGGGUGCAAGCGUUAAUCGGAAUUACUGGGCGUAAAGCGUGCGCAGGCGGUUCGGAAAGAAAGAUGUGAAAUCCCAGAGCUUAACUUUGGAACUGCAUUUUUAACUACCGGGCUAGAGUGUGUCAGAGGGAGGUGGAAUUCCGCGUGUAGCAGUGAAAUGCGUAGAUAUGCGGAGGAACACCGAUGGCGAAGGCAGCCUCCUGGGAUAACACUGACGCUCAUGCACGAAAGCGUGGGGAGCAAACAGGAUUAGAUACCCUGGUAGUCCACGCCCUAAACGAUGUCAACUAGCUGUUGGGGGCCUUCGGGCCUUGGUAGCGCAGCUAACGCGUGAAGUUGACCGCCUGGGGAGUACGGUCGCAAGAUUAAAACUUAAAUGAAUUG
RNAcentral lists this ribosomal RNA (565 nucleotides) under uncultured bacterium. Its description in RNAcentral is "partial 16S ribosomal RNA". It matches the Rfam family "Bacterial small subunit ribosomal RNA", at positions 355 to 912 of the family's 1533-position model. The record is from RNAcentral.